CAACGGAACACCCUUAAAGGAGGCUAGGCAGCAGAUGCACUACACCGGUGUAAGACUGACUUCAUUUACUUUAGCAUGAAUGUAACAGCCUACCUACCGGCACAAUGUUUGACCCAUAUCUGGCCCUUUAGAUAAGUAAUACCACAGCCAGUUGAACUCGAGGUGCAGCAGAGCUAAAUUGUGCUGAAAGCGAAAUAAAGAGUGAAACCACGAUCUGCCAGAGGCGCUCCAUGGAUAGGGUAUAUGUUUCAAUGUUGGAUCCAACGAUAACACACCAGGCAUAGAUAAUUAAGGUUCAAUUGAAAAAAGCUUGGGAAAGCGGCCAUCUUGGAAAAUGAAAAAAAGCAGUUUUUUCAGUUGAAGCAAUGUUUUCGGGGCAUUU
Molecule: long non-coding RNA, 382 nt
Organism: Topomyia yanbarensis
Lineage: Eukaryota; Metazoa; Arthropoda; Insecta; Diptera; Culicidae
Exons: 3
Source: RefSeq, a predicted model, not a curated record